RNAcentral lists this small RNA (581 nucleotides) under Pongo abelii (Sumatran orangutan). RNAcentral's name for it is "processed transcript". Lineage: Eukaryota; Metazoa; Chordata; Mammalia; Primates; Hominidae. The record is from RNAcentral.
ACUGCUUAGGUCCCCACAGUGGCCCGGGACGGGAAUGCCCUCUUGGCUGAGUGCAGUGGCUCACACCUGUGAUCCCAACACUUUGGGAGGCUGAGGCGGGUGGAUUGCUUGAGCCCAGAAGUUCAAGACCAGCCUGGACAACAUAUCAACAGGAUGCAGAAUGGUCUGCCUGGGCCUCAGUCACAUUGGAAGAGCAGAGACAGAAGGAGCCAUGAGGAGUCACUCAAGGGUUUUAGGCAGAGCCGUGACACGACCAGAGCUACUAUGAGCAAAGGUUCCGGAACAGGGCAGGGCAGGACAGGUUUGAGAGCAAUGGCGCGAUCUCGGCUCACAGCAACCUCCGCCUCCCGGGUUCAAGCUAUUCUCCUGCCUCAACCUCCUGAAGGCUGGGAUUACAGGAGAUGCAAAUGAUGGGAACAAUGGAGCCCUUGUCCCCAGGCCGUUUGUGGCAGAUCCUGGGCUCCAGGGAGGCAAAGCUCCUCUGCCUCUGCCAUGGACAAGCUCAGUGGGAGCAGGCCCCGGCUGGGGCCACCGCUCCCACCCCCCAGAUGUGUGGGUAAGUGACACAGGGGGUCAGAGGG